CUUGGUCAUUUAGAGGAAGUAAAAGUCGUAACAAGGUUUCCGUAGGUGAACCUGCGGAAGGAUCAUUAGUGAAUUAAACAUGCUUGGUGUCUUCGCUUCGGCAAGGCCCUUGCUUAAAUCACAUCCUAACACCUGUGAACUGUAAGACGUAUGAUGAGGUCUUUGGCCAAGUCAUCGUCUGCCCUUUUUUAACAAACAAUUAAUGUAACAAACGUAGUCUUAUUAUAACCUAAUAAAACUUUCAACAACGGAUCUCUUGGCUCUCGCAUCGAUGAAGAACGCAGCGAAAUGCGAUAAGUAAUGUGAAUUGCAGAAUUCAGUGAAUCAUCGAAUCUUUGAACGCACCUUGCGCUCUUUGGUAUUCCGAAGAGCAUGCCUGUUUGAGUGUCAUGAAAAUAUCAACCUUGACUUGGGUUUUGUGCUCUAGUCUUGGCUUGGAAUUGGGUGCUUGCCGCUUUUACGAGCGGCUCACCUUAAAUGUAUUAGCUGGAUCUGUCUUUGAGACUUGGUUUGACUUGGCGUAAUAAGUAUUUCGCUAAGGACAUUCUUCGGAGUGGCCUCGUUUCUAGGACGCUUGUCCGCUUCCCAAUACAAGUUCCACCUCGUGGACAUGACUUUUAUAUUAUCUGGCCUCAAAUCAGGUAGGACUACCCGCUGAACUUAAGCAUAUCAAUAAGCGGAGGA
RNAcentral lists this ribosomal RNA (684 nucleotides) under uncultured Basidiomycota. Its description in RNAcentral is "eukaryotic LSU rRNA". The stretch from base 237 to 390 matches the Rfam family "5.8S ribosomal RNA". Lineage: Eukaryota; Fungi; Basidiomycota. The record is from RNAcentral.